CCUACGGGUGGCAGCAGUGAGGAAUAUUUGUCAAUGGGCGCGAGCCUGAACCAGCCAAGUAGCGUGAAGGAUGACUGCCCUACGGGUUGUAAACUUCUUUUAUAAAGGAAUAAAGUGAUGCACUUGUGCCUUUUUGUAUGUACUUUAUGAAUAAGGAUCGGCUAACUCCGUUCCAUCAGCCGCGUUAAUACGGAGGAUCCGAGCGUUAUCCGGAUUUAUUGGGUUUAAAGGGAGCGUAGAUGGGUUGUUAAGUCAGUUGUGAGAGUUUGCGGCUCAACCGUAAAAUUGCAAUUGAUACUGGCAGACGUGAGUACAGUUGAGGUAGGCGGAAUUCGUGGUGUAGCGGUGAAAUGCUUAGAUAUCACGAAGAACUCCGAUUGCGAAGGCAGCUUACUAAACUGCCACUGACAUUGAGGCUCGAAAGUGUGGGUAUCAAACAGGAUUAGAUACCCCAGUAGUC
This 460-nucleotide ribosomal RNA is filed under the name uncultured bacterium. Its description in RNAcentral is "partial 16S ribosomal RNA". It matches the Rfam family "Bacterial small subunit ribosomal RNA", at positions 338 to 795 of the family's 1533-position model. The record is from RNAcentral.